This 344-nucleotide long non-coding RNA is filed under the name Ananas comosus (pineapple). Its description in RNAcentral is "long non-coding RNA (ACOM_LNC041445)". Lineage: Eukaryota; Viridiplantae; Streptophyta; Magnoliopsida; Poales; Bromeliaceae. The record is from RNAcentral.
CGUCAGACCCUCACCCAGUCAAGCAGUCACCCUCGCUCACAUUUCUUGCAAUUAUUUUGUAUUUUGAACUAUUAGACAUAUUGCAUCAAAUUGUAGAUAAAGAUAUGUAAAAAUUAAACUAUUUAUAUAUAAUGUCGAGAAUUUCAAUCGGCUCGUUUAGAGCUCGAGCUCGGCUUGACUCGAAAUUAGGCUCGCUCGAGCUCGGCUCGAAUUAAUUUCAAGCCGAGCUUGAGCCUAGAUUUAGGCUCGAAAUUAAUUUCAAGCUGAAUUUGAGCUGACAUAUGCUCGCUCGAGCUCGGCUCGUUUCCACCCCUACUGGCAAUUAAAUCGUUGCGAGGGUGUUG